GACUUGUGGGUAGCGGUGAAAUUCCAAUCGGGCCCGGAGAUAGCUGGUUCUCCCCGAAAUAGCUUUAGGGCUAGCCUCAAGGUGAGAACUACAGAGGUAGAGCGCUGAAUGUCCUAGUGGGUAUGGCACCGCACGAAGCCUAUCAAACUCCGACUGUCGUCCUCUUAUACUGGGGAGUGAGACUGGGGGUGAUAAGCUUCAUAGUCGAAAGGGCAACAGCCCAGAUCGUCAGCUACGGUCCCUAAAUGUAAGUUAAGUGGUAAAGGAUGU
This 270-nucleotide ribosomal RNA is filed under the name Clostridioides difficile. Its description in RNAcentral is "partial 23S ribosomal RNA". It matches the Rfam family "Bacterial large subunit ribosomal RNA", at positions 806 to 1076 of the family's 2925-position model. The record is from RNAcentral. Lineage: Bacteria; Bacillati; Bacillota; Clostridia; Peptostreptococcales; Peptostreptococcaceae.